Long non-coding RNA from Equus caballus (horse), 2101 nucleotides. The record is from Ensembl. Lineage: Eukaryota; Metazoa; Chordata; Mammalia; Perissodactyla; Equidae.
UUACUGAGAGCAGGCCUCUGUGCUCCCGGCAGGUGCCAAAUGCUGCCCAUCCCUCACCCCACUGACUGCUCACCAGAAAGCGACAGGUCAAUUCCACCAUCAUCCCAUUUUACACAGAGGGAGCUGAGGCUACGAGAGGGGAACACCUCCUUUGUCUUUCUCAGAAGGUGGUAUUUAAGGAGAGAGCUGCUGCCAUUUUGGUGAGUUGCUCAGUUUUCCUGAGCCUCUCCCAUGUACAGUUGUAAAGCUUUAUUUAAUUUUCUCCUGUUAUUCGGUCUCAUGUGAAUUUACUUUGACGUCUGGCCAGAAGGACCCAGAGCAGGUAGAGGAAAUGCCUUCCACCCCUACACCGUCCAGCGUCUGAACGCCCGCUGGGGGGGGCAUCUGCCAGCAGCUGGGGGCCGCCGCGGAGAGACCCCGCCCUCCUCGGCGCGCAGCGCGGUCCGCCCACCCGACGGCCAGGCAGACGGCGCGGCGGCGUCAGCACCGCGGACAGCGGCCUCCUGGCGGGGCGGGGCGGGGCGGGGCGGGGCGGGGCGGGGUCGCCGGGAGGGGCCGCUGCACUGUGGGAGGCGUCGUCGCGGCGGCGGGGGUCGCCGGGCCCAGGUCGGUGGCGGUAGAGGAGGCGACUCCACCGCGGGGGGCGAGGGCGGGGCGGGGCCGAGCCGAGGGGAGGGCCGGCCCGCCGUCUGUCGCCGCGGCUGCCGGGCGCGCGGCGCAGGGCUCUGGCCAGAAGAGCGCGGCGGCAGCGUCAGGGCCACCGCCACCGGACCAGACAAAACCGGCUGGCCGACCCCAGGGCGCAGGCGCGGCGGCUCGCGGCGCGGCUUGGGCACGGGCAGUGCGCAGUCGCGACGGGGCCGCUAGAAGCGGGGGAGGGGGGGAGGGGGCGUCUGCGCCUGCGCACCCCUCCGGCUGUGGUCUGCUGCCUUGGCCGCCCUUCCACGCCUGUGUCUGCCCACCCGCGCAUCUACCCGACGCUUAAGAUUUGUGACGCUGAGCAAGCACGUCUACUUCCUGUGCUCAUGAAACCUGCAGAGUCGCAGGGGAGGGGUCAUGUGUUACUGAAUAAAUGCCCAGUUCGGCAGAGCAGCUGAGAAAAUGGGGUGGUGGUUGACUGCCAGUUUUAGACUGGGGACAGGGAGUCGGGAAAUGCUCAACAGGCUGUAAUCGGGAUCUGAAGAUCCACAAGGAUGGUUCUUUCUCCUGCCUGUGACCAAGAAAUGGGCUGGUGUGUCCCUGAUUUCACUCCUGCUGCUUUUAAUCACGUGUCCACCGCAGACAAGGAAAAGGAGUCUGAAAGCAAAAGAGAAGAUAAAGAAAGAAGCACCUGUGGGCCGCCUGGCUAGAGGAGUGUGUGCUGGAGCAUCUGAGAGCAGGAAGGUUCAAGGUUUGAAACUGCCCUGGGUCGACCCAGCCUCCGGGGGACCAGGUGCUGCGUGCAGCAGGUCACCAGAGACAGGGCAGCAGGCUUCCUUUCACGUGUGCUUGUGGGGCGCAGCGGCCCCUGCAGAGGUAAACAGUGAUUUUUCACUCAUGACCUCUGCACACGCUCCAUUCCUUCUCGUUCCUCCCACAGCCUGGGGGAGAGGGCCAGGAGAAGAAAACCUCUGCCUCCAACACUGCUUGUUCCCUGUUUUUGUUUAGUUUAGUUUUUAAUUUGUAGAAGUGAAAUAAACAAAACUAGCAUCUUAUUUAACUUGAAUACUAGUUUUCUAUAAAAGACAGAACAAAAAAGCAUAUAAAAAGGCCAUUUACUAUACUUUUGUUUCUUUUCUUUUCUUUUUUUUUUUUUUUUGAGAAACAUUAGCCCUGAGCUAACAUCUGCCACCAAUCCUCCUCUUUUUUGCUGAGGAAGACUGGCCCUGAGCUAACAUCCAUGCUCAUCGUCCUCUACUUUAUAUGUGGGACUCCUGCCACAGCAUGGCUUGCCAAGCGGUGUCUAGGUCCACACACUGGAUCUGAACCAGCGAACCCCCGGCCGCUGAAGCUGAAGCGGAACAUGCAAACUUAACAGCUGUGCCAUUUAUUAUACUUUUUGUUUGGUGAGCUAUCAACACCCUUUAAAAUGCUACUAUUCAAGUACAAAGGAUUAUGUUUA